GACGAACGCUGGCGGCGUGCUUAACACAUGCAAGUCGAACGAGGUCCAUGGAGUAGCAAUACUCCGGAAGACCUAGUGGCGAACGGGUGCGUAACACGUGAGGAACUUACCCCGGUCUCUGGGAUAACAGUUGGAAACGACUGCUAAUACCGGAUGACGUCGGAGCGUCGCAUGGCGCGCUGACGAAAGGGUUACUGGAUCGGGAGAGCCUCGCGGCCUAUCAGCUUGGUGGUGGGGUAACGGCCUACCAAGGCAUCGACGGGUAGCUGGUCUGAGAGGAUGAUCAGCCACACUGGGACUGGGACACGGCCCAGACUCCUGCGGAGGCAGCAGUGGGGAAUUUUGCGAAAUGGGCGAAAGCCUGACGCAGCAACGCCGCGUGCGGGAAGAAGGCUCUCGGGUUGUAAACCGCUUUCAGCAGGAACGAAAAUGACGGUACCUGCAGAAGAAGGUGCGGCCAACUACGUGCCAGCCGCCGCCGUAA
RNAcentral lists this ribosomal RNA (484 nucleotides) under uncultured bacterium. RNAcentral describes it as "partial 16S ribosomal RNA". It matches the Rfam family "Bacterial small subunit ribosomal RNA", at positions 28 to 523 of the family's 1533-position model. The record is from RNAcentral.